RNA transcript from Dreissena polymorpha, 1779 nucleotides. RefSeq lists it as uncharacterized. NCBI's taxonomy places the organism in Eukaryota, Metazoa, Mollusca, Bivalvia, Myida, Dreissenidae. The transcript is spliced from 3 exons. The record is from RefSeq and is a predicted model, not a curated record.
UGUUAGGCAUUGAUCGCUUCUAUCGUUGAUUGAUUAUAAAGUAGCCACUGAAAUAAUUAUGCGUUUUACUUCGUUUGUUUACCCAAACACAACAAACUGGCGACGAGGAUAAAACUUUGUGGAUUAUAUUUCGAGAAUGUUAUCCGUUUAAUAAGAUUGUGCGUGAAAUUUUGGAUAUAAACACAAAAUGGCAACGGGCCUGAUUGGGAACAUUAACGCAUAUGACAGCAAUGUCGAAACAUGGACAUCCUACCAGGAACGACUUGAACAGUACUUAAUGGUCAAUGACAUCGAUAAUGAACGAAAAGUGGCAAAACUUUUAACACUCCCGUAUGAGGAACUUUGACAGCUUUUACAAACUCAUUUGUGCCCGAAACCGUUAAUAAUCGCGGAACGAUUCCGAUUUCACAAGAGGAAACAAGCAGUGGGCGAAAGUGUGAGUUGUUACGUAACUUCACUUCAGAAGUUGGCAGAAUUCUGUGAGUUCAGAUCGAACUUGAACGAUUCUUUAAGGGACAGGUUCGUUUGUGGACUUAAAGAUGCAGGAACACAGCGAAGAUUAUUGUCAAUCGCUGAUUUGACACUGCAAAAUGCCAUAGAAAUAGCGCUUGCCAUGGAAGCUGCACAUAAGGACGCCGCCGAUGUGCCUGUCAAUCGAGUUGGACAUUCAACAAAACCCAAGAAAUGGAAGCAUCACAAACAUGCCAAAGAGAGCACCAAGUGCACCCAUUGUGGGAAAACUAACCACCCUCCGAUAAAUGCAGACUGAAAGAUGCAGUUUGUCAUCACUGUAAAGCAAAGGGACAUAUAAAAUAAAGGCUAUAUGUAGGAAGCUUAAGUCGGUGCAGUGUAUGGAGGAAAACGUUUCAGUGAUCAACACUGUAAACAAAGGAGACAACGGGAAAUUCAUCGUUAAGCCGAAGAUUAACGAUGUCGAGGUACCCAUGGAGCUUGAUACAGGAUCAGCAGUUACCCUCAUAUCAAACAAGGAUAUCCGAAACGGAUUCGGAAAUAUGAAGCUCGAUCCUGCUUUUUCCAUACUUAAGACAUAUUCAGGCGAUGUCAUAGAGCAACAAGGGACAGUUAUGGUGCAUGUCAGUUAUAAUGGACAAUCGCGAACAAUGCGACUUUGCGUCGUAAAAGGUGAUGGGCCUGCACUGUUCGGAAGGGACUGGCUGAGCCACAUUAAACUGGACUGGGACACACUUUUUAACGUGAACUCUGUGACAACGGAAGGCCUGAAGAUAAUGCCGCUACGCCACGCCUACUUGUAAAUGAAGCGUAGCAACGCCCCGCCCCAUGUUCUUCAUAACUGCAUGUUGACCUCUGAUCUGAUUUCUGACGUGCGGGUUUGACGUGCCGAAUCCUUAGCGGCAGUGAAAUUUUCAUCCACCCAUCUGUGAAAAAUUUACAUUAUUCGAUAUAUUUUCUACAUUUCUGUACAUUUGUGAAUAGUUGGGAUUGUAUGUACCAUAGUGAUUAUGCUAGUAUUUGCUAUUGAGAACACAACGAACAAUCCAAACAAUGAUUAUGGAUCGCCGCACUACUUUUAUGUGCAGUUUUAACAAUGGUGAAAGCGAUCAGGGAUGAUUUUGGAUCGCCGCACUACUUUUAUGUGCAGUUAUAUAAUGUGAAAGCGAUCAGGGAUGAUUUUGGAUCGCCGCACUACUUUUAUGUGCAGUUAUAAAAAUGUGAAAGCGAUCAGGGAUGCAACUUUGUGUGAUUGUUUUUAUAUUUGUAUAUUUUUUAAUAAAUGGAAAGUAUUCAAGUUUAAAAGUU